UACAGAGGGGGCAAGCGUUGUUCGGAAUUACUGGGCGUAAAGGGCGCGUAGGCGGCCUUCUAAGUCGAACGUGAAAUCCCCGGGCUCAACCCGGGAACUGCGUCCGAUACUGGCAGGCUUGAAUUCGGGAGAGGGAUGCGGAAUUCCAGGUGUAGCGGUGAAAUGCGUAGAUAUCUGGAGGAACACCGGUGGCGAAGGCGGCAUCCUGGACCGAGAUUGACGCUGAUGCGCGAAAGCAUGGGUAGCGAACGGG
Molecule: ribosomal RNA, 253 nt
Filed under: uncultured bacterium
Lineage: Bacteria
Description: partial 16S ribosomal RNA
Rfam family: Bacterial small subunit ribosomal RNA
Source: RNAcentral